GUGCUCACUUCGGCAGCACAUACACUAAAAUUGGAAUGAUACAGAGAUUAGCAUGGCCCCUGCACAAGGAUGAAACAAGUAAAGAGAGAUAGAAAGUAGAAUAGA
This is a small nuclear RNA of Nyctereutes procyonoides (raccoon dog), 105 nucleotides long. The record is from RefSeq and is a predicted model, not a curated record. Lineage: Eukaryota; Metazoa; Chordata; Mammalia; Carnivora; Canidae.